UGAGUGGCGAACGGGUGAGUAAUACAUAGGUAACCUGCCCCUGUGCGGGGGAUAACAGGAGGAAACUCCUGCUAAUACCGCAUAGCCAUGAGCACCGCAUGGAGCUCAUGCCAAAUAUCCUUAGGGGAUAGCGCAGGGAUGGACCUAUGGCGCAUUAGCUAGUUGGCGGGGCAACGGCCCACCAAGGCAACGAUGCGUAGCCGGCCUGAGAGGGCGGACGGCCACAUUGGGACUGAGACACGGCCCAGACUCCUACGGGAGGCAGCAGUAGGGAAUUUUCGGCAAUGGGGGAAACCCUGACCGAGCAACGCCGCGUGAGCGAAGAAGGCCUUCGGGUCGUAAAGCUCUGUUGUAAAGGAAGAACGUCGCAUGCAGGAAAUGGUGUGCGAGUGACGGUACUUUACCAGAAAGCCACGGCUAACUACGUGCCAGCAGCCGCGGUAAUACGUAGGUGGCGAGCGUUAUCCGGAAUCAUUGGGCGUAAAGAGGGAGCAGGCGGCCGCAAGGGUCUGUGGUGAAAGACCGAAGCUAAACUUCGGUAAGCCAUGGAAACUGGGCGGCUAGAGUGCGGAAGAGGAUCGUGGAAUUCCAUGUGUAGCGGUGAAAUGCGUAGAUAUAUGGAGGAACACCAGUGGCGAAGGCGACGGUCUGGGCCGCAACUGACGCUCAUUCCCGAAAGCGUGGGGAGCAAAUAGGAUUAGAUACCCUAGUAGUCCACGCCGUAAACGAUGGUCACUAAGUGUCGGGGGUCAAACCCCGGUGCUGCAGUCAACGCAAUAAGUGACCCGCCUGAGUAGUACGUUCGCAAGAAUGAAACUCAAAUGAAUUGACGG
This 833-nucleotide ribosomal RNA is filed under the name uncultured bacterium. RNAcentral's name for it is "bacterial SSU rRNA". It matches the Rfam family "Bacterial small subunit ribosomal RNA", at positions 92 to 916 of the family's 1533-position model. The record is from RNAcentral.